Molecule: ribosomal RNA, 433 nt
Filed under: uncultured bacterium
Lineage: Bacteria
Description: partial 16S ribosomal RNA
Rfam family: Bacterial small subunit ribosomal RNA
Source: RNAcentral
AACGAACGCUGGCGGCAUGCCUAACACAUGCAAGUCGAACGAGACCUUCGGGUCUAGUGGCGCACGGGUGCGUAACGCGUGGGAACCUGCCCUUAGGUUCGGAAUAACUCCCCGAAAGGGGUGCUAAUACCGGAUAAUGUCUUCGGACCAAAGAUUUAUCGCCUUUGGAUGGGCCCGCGUUGGAUUAGCUAGUUGGUAGGGUAAAAGCCUACCAAGGCGACGAUCCAUAGCUGGUCUGAGAGGAUGAUCAGCCACACUGGGACUGAGACACGGCCCAGACUCCUACGGGAGGCAGCAGUGGGGAAUAUUGGACAAUGGGCGAAAGCCUGAUCCAGCAAUGCCGCGUGAGUGAUGAAGGCCUUAGGGUUGUAAAGCUCUUUUACCCGUGAUGAUAAUGACAGUACCGGGAGAAUAAGCGCCGGCUAACUCCGUG